RNAcentral lists this ribosomal RNA (301 nucleotides) under uncultured bacterium. Its description in RNAcentral is "partial 16S ribosomal RNA". It matches the Rfam family "Bacterial small subunit ribosomal RNA", at positions 509 to 807 of the family's 1533-position model. The record is from RNAcentral.
CAGCAGCCACGGGAAUACGAAGGGGGCUAGCGUUGCUCGGAUUUACUGGGCGUAAAGCGCACGUAGGCGGAUCGAUCAGUCAGGGGUGAAAUCCCAGAGCUCAACUCUGGAACUGCCUUUGAUACUGUCGAUCUGGAGUAUGGAAGAGGUGAGUGGAAUUCCGAGUGUAGAGGUGAAAUUCGUAGAUAUUCGGAGGAACACCAGUGGCGAAGGCGGCUCACUGGUCCAUUACUGACGCUGAGGUGCGAAAGCGUGGGGAGCAAACAGGAUUAGAUACCCCUGUAGUCCCUGUCUCUUAUAC